UUAAGCGACUAAGCGUACACGGUGGAUGCCCUGGCAGUCAGAGGCGAUGAAGGACGUGCUAAUCUGCGAUAAGCGUCGGUAAGGUGAUAUGAACCGUUAUAACCGGCGAUUUCCGAAUGGGGAAACCCAGUGUGUUUCGACACACUAUCAUUAACUGAAUCCAUAGGUUAAUGAGGCGAACCGGGGGAACUGAAACAUCUAAGUACCCCGAGGAAAAGAAAUCAACCGAGAUUCCCCCAGUAGCGGCGAGCGAACGGGGAGGAGCCCAGAGCCUGAAUCAGUGUGUGUGUUAGUGGAAGCGUCUGGAAAGGCGCGCGAUACAGGGUGACAGCCCCGUACACAAAAAUGCACAUGCUGUGAGCUCGAUGAGUAGGGCGGGACACGUGGUAUCCUGUCUGAAUAUGGGGGGACCAUCCUCCAAGGCUAAAUACUCCUGACUGACCGAUAGUGAACCAGUACCGUGAGGGAAAGGCGAAAAGAACCCCGGCGAGGGGAGUGAAAAAGAACCUGAAACCGUGUACGUACAAGCAGUGGGAGCACAGAGCAAUCUGUGUGACUGCGUACCUUUUGUAUAAUGGGUCAGCGACUUAUAUUCUGUAGCAAGGUUAACCGAAUAGGGGAGCCGAAGGGAAACCGAGUCUUAACUGGGCGUUAAGUUGCAGGGUAUAGACCCGAAACCCGGUGAUCUAGCCAUGGGCAGGUUGAAGGUUGGGUAACACUAACUGGAGGACCGAACCGACUAAUGUUGAAAAAUUAGCGGAUGACUUGUGGCUGGGGGUGAAAGGCCAAUCAAACCGGGAGAUAGCUGGUUCUCCCCGAAAGCUAUUUAGGUAGCGCCUCGUGAAUUCAUCUCCGGGGGUAGAGCACUGUUUCGGCAAGGGGGUCAUCCCGACUUACCAACCCGAUGCAAACUGCGAAUACCGGAGAAUGUUAUCACGGGAGACACACGGCGGGUGCUAACGUCCGUCGUGAAGAGGGAAACAACCCAGACCGCCAGCUAAGGUCCCAAAGUCAUGGUUAAGUGGGAAACGAUGUGGGAAGGCCCAGACAGCCAGGAUGUUGGCUUAGAAGCAGCCAUCAUUUAAAGAAAGCGUAAUAGCUCACUGGUCGAGUCGGCCUGCGCGGAAGAUGUAACGGGGCUAAACCAUGCACCGAAGCUGCGGCAGCGACGCUGAUGCGUUGUUGGGUAGGGGAGCGUUCUGUAAGCCUGUGAAGGUGUGCUGUGAGGCAUGCUGGAGGUAUCAGAAGUGCGAAUGCUGACAUAAGUAACGAUAAAGCGGGUGAAAAGCCCGCUCGCCGGAAGACCAAGGGUUCCUGUCCAACGUUAAUCGGGGCAGGGUGAGUCGACCCCUAAGGCGAGGCCGAAAGGCGUAGUCGAUGGGAAACAGGUUAAUAUUCCUGUACUUGGUGUUACUGCGAAGGGGGGACGGAGAAGGCUAUGUUGGCCGGGCGACGGUUGUCCCGGUUUAAGCGUGUAGGCUGGUUUUCCAGGCAAAUCCGGAAAACUAAGGCUGAGGCGUGAUGACGAGGCACUACGGUGCUGAAGCAACAAAUGCCCUGCUUCCAGGAAAAGCCUCUAAGCAUCAGGUAACAUCAAAUCGUACCCCAAACCGACACAGGUGGUCAGGUAGAGAAUACCAAGGCGCUUGAGAGAACUCGGGUGAAGGAACUAGGCAAAAUGGUGCCGUAACUUCGGGAGAAGGCACGCUGAUAUGUAGGUGAAGUCCCUCGCGGAUGGAGCUGAAAUCAGUCGAAGAUACCAGCUGGCUGCAACUGUUUAUUAAAAACACAGCACUGUGCAAACACGAAAGUGGACGUAUACGGUGUGACGCCUGCCCGGUGCCGGAAGGUUAAUUGAUGGGGUCAGCGCAAGCGAAGCUCUUGAUCGAAGCCCCGGUAAACGGCGGCCGUAACUAUAACGGUCCUAAGGUAGCGAAAUUCCUUGUCGGGUAAGUUCCGACCUGCACGAAUGGCGUAAUGAUGGCCAGGCUGUCUCCACCCGAGACUCAGUGAAAUUGAACUCGCUGUGAAGAUGCAGUGUACCCGCGGCAAGACGGAAAGACCCCGUGAACCUUUACUAUAGCUUGACACUGAACAUUGAGCCUUGAUGUGUAGGAUAGGUGGGAGGCUUUGAAGUGUGGACGCCAGUCUGCAUGGAGCCGACCUUGAAAUACCACCCUUUAAUGUUUGAUGUUCUAACGUUGACCCGUAAUCCGGGUUGCGGACAGUGUCUGGUGGGUAGUUUGACUGGGGCGGUCUCCUCCUAAAGAGUAACGGAGGAGCACGAAGGUUGGCUAAUCCUGGUCGGACAUCAGGAGGUUAGUGCAAUGGCAUAAGCCAGCUUGACUGCGAGCGUGACGGCGCGAGCAGGUGCGAAAGCAGGUCAUAGUGAUCCGGUGGUUCUGAAUGGAAGGGCCAUCGCUCAACGGAUAAAAGGUACUCCGGGGAUAACAGGCUGAUACCGCCCAAGAGUUCAUAUCGACGGCGGUGUUUGGCACCUCGAUGUCGGCUCAUCACAUCCUGGGGCUGAAGUAGGUCCCAAGGGUAUGGCUGUUCGCCAUUUAAAGUGGUACGCGAGCUGGGUUUAGAACGUCGUGAGACAGUUCGGUCCCUAUCUGCCGUGGGCGCUGGAGAACUGAGGGGGGCUGCUCCUAGUACGAGAGGACCGGAGUGGACGCAUCACUGGUGUUCGGGUUGUCAUGCCAAUGGCACUGCCCGGUAGCUAAAUGCGGAAGAGAUAAGUGCUGAAAGCAUCUAAGCACGAAACUUGCCCCGAGAUGAGUUCUCCCUGACUCCUUGAGAGUCCUGAAGGAACGUUGAAGACGACGACGUUGAUAGGCCGGGUGUGUAAGCGCAGCGAUGCGUUGAGCUAACCGGUACUAAUGAACCGUGAGGCUUAACCUU
Molecule: ribosomal RNA, 2904 nt
Filed under: Escherichia coli
Lineage: Bacteria; Pseudomonadati; Pseudomonadota; Gammaproteobacteria; Enterobacterales; Enterobacteriaceae
Description: bacterial LSU rRNA
Rfam family: Bacterial large subunit ribosomal RNA
Source: RNAcentral